Mauremys reevesii (Reeves's turtle) is the source of this 1315-nucleotide long non-coding RNA. RefSeq lists it as uncharacterized. Lineage: Eukaryota; Metazoa; Chordata; Testudines; Geoemydidae. The transcript is spliced from 5 exons. The record is from RefSeq and is a predicted model, not a curated record.
UCAAAGGGCCCACAUUAUUCUGUCCCUAUGAGGUCUCACUGCUACUCCUUUAAGAGUAACCAAAACCAGAUCAGGGUUGUUUGCAGGUCCCAUUUUACAGAGUCUGAUCUCCUGUGCCUGGUUUCCAUUUCCUGUCACAGGACUCAGCAAACUUUGGGGGAGUUGUUGCCAGACCUGGGCUUGCUCCCGUAUAAAUUCCUGAAGACUCUUUUGCUGUUAAACCUAUCAGGCUUUCUAUCCAAGCAUUAGAGUCUGUGCUUUUCAAGGGUGGGAAUGAGAGACUGGUGAGAGCACUCUGGGAGCAGAGAACAUGGAGUCUGCUUGAAAACCCCCAGACUCACCAUGAGGGAGUGUGUCUGCUGGUGAGUGUUCCGCUAAGAUCUGGACUAAUAACACCUGAGAUCAUCCAGAGCCUCCUCCCCUGGGUGAAUUCCCCAACAGAAAAUAGCCAAGUCACCAGCACAGCUUUCCUUGCCCAGGUCCUAGCACAAUGGGAAUCUGGUCUGUGACUGGGACUAUGAGGCAGUGCUGGAAUACAAAUAAUCACAUGCUGAUCUACAGAAAUACUUUUGUACCCUGGCCAUCCCCACUGGCUUAAGAGAUUAGUCACUGAAAAUGGAAGUAAGUGACCUUGACAUCUGCAGUUUAACUCAGUCCCUUCAUCUCCUGCACUGAGUGUUCUUUCCGCUCAGUAUAUGCUGUCUGAAUGCACAGGAGAACCGUGAUGGAUGGUGACAAAGAGCCUGGAGACUUUUUCCCCAUUUGAUGGGUCUUGUGGUGAGCUGGGUCAUGUAUAUGGACCUGGAGAAGAAAGAGGAGGUGGCAUUCAUUUGGAUGAAGAGAAAUUUUGGACAAUGGAUUAUGUCUGGAAAGGCAGGUGUUCUGUUUCCCUGAUCAGCUCUCCCCCGAAAGUGCAGUGAAGCAACAAGCAUUAGCUUCAGACUCUUGCGGCAACUUUAUGUACAGUGAAUUUCAUUGCAUAUGUCCCGCUUGCUGAUGCCACCAUGGCAAUAGGUAACACAUGAAUACAAGCCAAGUUUGAUUUAAAAAAAAAUUGCCUCAGGUUAGGCGGUUGUGUUCAUAUCUAGGUCCCCAAAUAAAUGGCUUGACUUGUACUAGCACUGAGUGCUAAGAAAUUCCGAAUAGGUACUCAUUUUUAAAAACAAUAUUGGGCAAAGUCCACUGGGAGUAUGAAGCAGUUUUGCUAUAUAGAAAGAGUAGCAAGCUCCAGCAAACAGGCUGCUUUCAAUUAUCUUUGCACUAUACCCAUUUUUGGAGAAUGACUUUAGUCUAAGUCUAACUUUUCUAUGUUGCA